ACGUAUCCUAUCAAUGAAGUGUAUAGCUAGCUAAAGGUUUUGAUGUUGUUCUUUGAUAGCUCAACGUAUUAUAUUAGUUUUAAAUUCAAAUGUUACAUGCAUACACGAAACAUUUAUCGGUGUCGAUAUUCUUACAACACUUUGUACAAAACUUUGCACAAAACGGUGCGUUUUGUACAAAGUAUAAAACCCACUUUUUACUGCACAGUUUAACAACACACACACACAUAAGGGGAACAAAACUCAGCGUCUCUCUCUCCCAUCUUCUUUCUUUCUCACGAAACCUCACCAAACAGCUCAGAUCUUUCUCUCUCAUUCCCACGCCAGUAACAGUCUCAUCUCCGUUCUCCCUUGUCGCGUAAAUGAUGAAAAAAAUGUGCUAUAAAUGAGGGAGACGCAUAAAUUAUAGCAUAAGCUCAAUGUUUAGGGGCUGUAAUUUUUUUAAAAAUUCUUUUCAAAUAAUGGUAAAUAUAAUUUAUUCAACAGAGUAAAAUAAUUUGAGAGAACAAACUAAAUUUUCCAGGUAUUUCAUCAAACAAUCAAAUCAUAACAUGAAAGGUUGAAAUAAACAUGAUUCCCAAAGGCAUCGGGUUUUGCAUAAUUUGAUUCUAAUUUACAACACUCAAGCAAAAGACCACCACCAUCCAUAGGUAAUUCAGCACAAUGUCUUAAACGAGUUAAAGAUUUCAAUUAGAACAAUGAAUUGAAACGGGUGAGAGAGAGAUCUUAUGGUUGCUGCGCGGCGAGAGAGGUUAGAAUUGGGACUAUUAGCGGCGUGGAGACUGGAGAGAGAGAUCCGAACUGUCUUGUGAGGGAGAAAGGAGGCCAGAGAGAGAGACCCGGGUUGUCUCGUAAGGAAGAAAGGAGGACGGAGGGAGAGAGAUCGGAGCUAUCUCGUGAGGAAAAAUGGAGGAAGAAAGGAGACUUCUGUUGGGUUUAUUAUAUAAUAUUAUAUUAAUAAGGAGACUUCUUGUUGUGUGGAGAACGAAGCUACUGGGUUUUUGUUGCAGUGAAAGGAGGCAGACGCGAGUGGAAAAAUUAUAUUGUGAAUUGGCGUGUGUGUCCGUUGUUACAAAGAGCAUUUGAAAAGUUGCACAAAACGCACCGUUUUGUGUAAAUCUUUGUGCGCAAAUUUGUGAGAACAUCAUUUUCCAACAUUUAUUAUAUUGAAUUUAAAGCGACAUCCUAUCCUUAAAAAAUAAUAAUAAAAAAUAAAAAGACAUAAUCUGUUUCAAGUGAUCAGUGAUCACUUAGUUUUAUAUUAUAUGUCCAGAAAUAAUCAUCGACCCUCAUUUCCUCCCUCUCUAUGAAUAUAUGACCCAUUAAUAAACCUCUACUUACGUGUUAUAGUUUCUGCGUGCGUUUAUUGACAUUUCAAAGACUUGCGAUUCGUUCAUUCUAUGCGCAGUCGAAGAGAUGAAGCCUCACUUGGCACCUAAGCUCUCAAAAGUCAAAAGUUUUGGUCGCCGUCAGCAUAACUGUACUGUCUUCAGCGGCGGCUCUUGGAGACCGUGGGGGAGGCAGAGGAGGUGGUGGUGGAGGCGGUUCUGGCGGCAGCCUCGGUGGUGGCAGAUGAGUUAUUGGAAACGGAGGAAGAGUUUAUGGUGAAUGCAAUACGGCCUUGCUCAGUUUAACUAAGUUUGUGUGCUGCCCUAUUUUAGUUUUAUUAGUCAGGGAAAACUUUUGAGUAGUCUUGUUGUAUAUACCUUUUUUUUUUUUUCUCCCGUUGGAUCUUACUAUGUAUAUCUUCCAAUUAAUUAUAUAAAAGUAAUUAUUUACUUUACUAAAUUUUAAUGCGAGAAGGGGUGAAUAAAGAAAGUGUUGUUA
Molecule: long non-coding RNA, 1827 nt
Filed under: Citrus sinensis (sweet orange)
Lineage: Eukaryota; Viridiplantae; Streptophyta; Magnoliopsida; Sapindales; Rutaceae
Description: long non-coding RNA (CSIN_LNC003759)
Source: RNAcentral